RNAcentral lists this ribosomal RNA (1341 nucleotides) under uncultured bacterium. Its description in RNAcentral is "partial 16S ribosomal RNA". It matches the Rfam family "Bacterial small subunit ribosomal RNA", at positions 28 to 1381 of the family's 1533-position model. The record is from RNAcentral.
GACGAACUUUGGCGGCGUGCUUAACACAUGCAAGUCGAACGGUAAGGCUCCAGCUUGCUGGGGUACACGAGUGGCGAACGGGUGAGUAACACGUGGGUGACCUGCCCUGCACUUCGGGAUAAGCCUGGGAAACUGGGUCUAAUACCGGAUAGGACCGCACCGUGAGGGUGUGGUGGAAAGUUUUUUCGGUGUGGGAUGGGCCCGCGGCCUAUCAGCUUGUUGGUGGGGUAAUGGCCUACCAAGGCGGCGACGGGUAGCCGGCCUGAGAGGGUGGACGGCCACAUUGGGACUGAGACACGGCCCAGACUCCUACGGGAGGCAGCAGUGGGGAAUAUUGCACAAUGGGCGGAAGCCUGAUGCAGCGACGCCGCGUGGGGGAUGACGGCCUUCGGGUUGUAAACUCCUUUCACCAUCGACGAAGGGUUUCUGACGGUAGAUGGAGAAGAAGCACCGGCUAACUACGUGCCAGCAGCCGCGGUAAUACGUAGGGUGCGAGCGUUGUCCGGAAUUACUGGGCGUAAAGAGCUCGUAGGUGGUUUGUCGCGUCGUCUGUGAAAUUCCGGGGCUUAACUCCGGGCGUGCAGGCGAUACGGGCAUAACUUGAGUACUGUAGGGGAGACUGGAAUUCCUGGUGUAGCGGUGAAAUGCGCAGAUAUCAGGAGGAACACCGGUGGCGAAGGCGGGUCUCUGGGCAGUAACUGACGCUGAGGAGCGAAAGCAUGGGGAGCGAACAGGAUUAGAUACCCUGGUAGUCCAUGCCGUAAACGGUGGGCGCUAGGUGUGGGUUUCCUUCCACGGGAUCCGUGCCGUAGCUAACGCAUUAAGCGCCCCGCCUGGGGAGUACGGCCGCAAGGCUAAAACUCAAAGGAAUUGACGGGGGCCCGCACAAGCCGCGGAGCAUGUGGAUUAAUUCGAUGCAACGCGAAGAACCUUACCUGGGCUUGACAUAUACAGGAUCGCGCCAGAGAUGGUGUUUCCCUUGUGGCUUGUAUACAGGUGGUGCAUGGUUGUCGUCAGCUCGUGUCGUGAGAUGUUGGGUUAAGUCCCGCAACGAGCGCAACCCUUGUCUUAUGUUGCCAGCACGUUGUGGUGGGGACUCGUAAGAAACUGCCGGGGUUAACUCGGAGGAAGGUGGGGAUGACGUCAAAUCAUCAUGCCCCUUAUGUCCAGGGCUUCACACAUGCUACAAUGGUCGGUACAGUGGGUUGCCAGUCCGUGAGGGCGAGCUAAUCCCGCAAAGCCGGUCUCAGUUCGGAUCGGGGUCUGCAACUCGACCCCGUGAAGUCGGAGUCGCUAGUAAUCGCAGAUCAGCAACGCUGCGGUGAAUACGUUCCCGGGCCU